GACGAACGCUGGCGGCGUGCCUAAUACAUGCAAGUCGAGCGGAGUUUUUAAAAGCUUGCUUUUAAAAACUCAGCGGCGGACGGGUGAGUAACACGUGGGCAACCUGCCCUGUAGACUGGGAUAACUUCGGGAAACCGAAGCUAAUACCGGAUAAUCAUAGAAGUUGCAUAGCUUCUAUGUAAAAGUUGGGUUUACCUAACACUACAGGAUGGGCCCGCGUCGCAUUAGCUAGUUGGUAAGGUAACGGCUUACCAAGGCGACGAUGCGUAGCCGACCUGAGAGGGUGAUCGGCCACACUGGGACUGAGACACGGCCCAGACUCCUACGGGAGGCAGCAGUAGGGAAUCUUCCGCAAUGGACGAAAGUCUGACGGAGCAACGCCGCGUGAGCGAUGAAGGCCUUCGUGUCGUAAAGCUCUGUUGUUAGGGAAGAACAAGUGCUAUUUCGAAUAGGGUGGCACCCUGACGGUACCUAAACGAGAAGCCCCGG
RNAcentral lists this ribosomal RNA (489 nucleotides) under Bacilli bacterium oral taxon C43. RNAcentral's name for it is "bacterial SSU rRNA". It matches the Rfam family "Bacterial small subunit ribosomal RNA", at positions 28 to 496 of the family's 1533-position model. Lineage: Bacteria; Bacillati; Bacillota; Bacilli. The record is from RNAcentral.